GAUAAGAACGUAGUGAAAUGCGAUAAGUAAUGUGAAUUGCAGAAUUCAGUGAAUCAUCGAAUCUUUGAACGCACAUUGCGCCCCUUGGUAUUCCGAGGGGCAUGCCUGUUCGAGCGUCAUUAUAACCCCUCAAGCUCAGCUUGGUGUUGGGGCCUGCUGCACUGGCAGCCCUUAAAAUCAGUGGCGGCGCCAUCUGGCUCUAAGCGUAGUAAUUCUUCUCGCUAUGGAGUCCUGGUGGAUGCUUGCCAUCAACCCCCAAUUUUUCUAUGGUUGACCUCGGAUCAGGUAGGGAUACCCGCUGAACUUAAGCAUAUCAAUAAGCGGAGGA
This 328-nucleotide unclassified non-coding RNA is filed under the name soil metagenome. RNAcentral's name for it is "partial contains 5.8S ribosomal RNA, internal transcribed spacer 2, and large subunit ribosomal RNA". The stretch from base 4 to 119 matches the Rfam family "5.8S ribosomal RNA", at positions 39 to 154 of the family's 154-position model. The record is from RNAcentral.